RNAcentral lists this ribosomal RNA (513 nucleotides) under Pinacopteryx eriphia. RNAcentral describes it as "partial 16S ribosomal RNA". The stretch from base 387 to 513 matches the Rfam family "Bacterial large subunit ribosomal RNA", at positions 2473 to 2600 of the family's 2925-position model. Lineage: Eukaryota; Metazoa; Arthropoda; Insecta; Lepidoptera; Pieridae. The record is from RNAcentral.
GUCUUUUUGAGAAUAAUUUAAAGUCUAAUCUGCCCACUGAAUUUAUUUAAAGGGCUGCAGUAUAUUGACUGUACAAAGGUAGCAUAAUAAAUAGUCUUUUAAUUGAAGACUGGUAUGAAUGAUUUGAUGAGAUAUAAACUGUCUCUUUUUUAAAAAUUGAAUUUAAUUUUUUAGUUAAAAAGCUAAAAUAUUUAUAAAAGACGAGAAGACCCUAUAGAGUUUAAUAAUAAUUUUUAUUUUAAUUUUAUAUAAAAUUUUAAAUUAAAAUAAAAAUUAUUAUUUUGUUGGGGUGAUAGAAAAAUUUAUGAAACUUUUUUUAAAAAAUUAACAUUAAUAUAUGAAUUUUUGAUCCAUAAUUUAUGAUUAUAAGAUUAAAUUACCUUAGGGAUAACAGCGUAAUUUUUUUUUUUAGUUCAAAUAAAAAUUAAAGUUUGCGACCUCGAUGUUGGAUUAAGAUAAAAUUUAAAUGCAAAAGUUUAAAAUUUUGAUCUGUUCGAUCAUUAAAAUCUUACA